This 279-nucleotide ribosomal RNA is filed under the name uncultured bacterium. RNAcentral's name for it is "partial 16S ribosomal RNA". It matches the Rfam family "Bacterial small subunit ribosomal RNA", at positions 506 to 784 of the family's 1533-position model. The record is from RNAcentral.
UGCCAGCCGCCGCGGUAAUACGGAGGGUGCAAGCGUUAAUCGGAAUUACUGGGCGUAAAGCGCGCGUAGGCGGUUUAGUAAGUUGGACGUGAAAGCCCAGGGCUCAACCUUGGAACUGCAUUGGAAACUGGCGAACUUGAGUACGGGAGAGGAAAGUGGAAUUCCGAGUGUAGGGGUGAAAUCCGUAGAUAUUCGGAGGAACACCAGUGGCGAAGGCGGCUUUCUGGACCGAUACUGACGCUGAGACGCGAAAGCGUGGGGAGCAAACAGGAUUAGAUA